Ctenopharyngodon idella (grass carp) is the source of this 519-nucleotide long non-coding RNA. RefSeq lists it as uncharacterized. The record is from RefSeq and is a predicted model, not a curated record. The transcript is spliced from 4 exons. NCBI's taxonomy places the organism in Eukaryota, Metazoa, Chordata, Actinopteri, Cypriniformes, Xenocyprididae.
CCUGUAGUACCGCAAUGUGCCUGCGGAGGGCCUCGUUCUCUUUCUUCAGCAACUUCACCUCUGCCUCCAACUUGGCCUCCUUCACUUUUUCUUUCUUACUGGCCUCCAGUUCCUUCUCCUGUGAAAUGCAAUCAAACAAAGACAAGAGCUCUUCCAAGGUGCUGCCCAAGAGGACAAGAAGCAGAAGACCUACGUCACCACAAUGACCGCAAACAUCACAACAGUGCAAAUGACAUAGCAGGGAGUUUUUAUCAAGCUGUGUGUUAAUCUGCUCUGCACUGCUGCGCCGGUGAAGACGUGGGUGUAUGUGCAACCUCUUCACCUGCUAAACUACCUUUCUGAAAGAAAUUCAGUCUCCCACACAAAUACCAUUUAUGGUUGAGCUGGAAGAUGGUUUGGGCUUUAUGACACAGCUGAGCAAAACAUGAGCUGAGACUGGUCAUCUUCUGACGGCCCUCAUAUGUGAUAUCAGCCUGAUCCGGGUCGAUCUCUCCCAGUAACAGAUCCACAUCCACAAAC